RNAcentral lists this ribosomal RNA (542 nucleotides) under Moelleriella libera. Its description in RNAcentral is "SSU rRNA". It matches the Rfam family "Bacterial small subunit ribosomal RNA", at positions 276 to 831 of the family's 1533-position model. Lineage: Eukaryota; Fungi; Ascomycota; Sordariomycetes; Hypocreales; Clavicipitaceae. The record is from RNAcentral.
AAUUCUCGUAGUCGAAGCUGAAAGGUUGAUCGACCACAUUGGGUCUGAAAAAACCCCAAUGCAAGUUAGUACAGCAGUGAGGAAUCUUGGUCAAUGGCCUAACGGCUGAACUGGCAACUUGGAGAAGUGGCAAGUCUUAUUUUUGAUUAUAAUUUUAGAUAAUCUAUAAGAUUGUAUUAAAAUUGAAUAAAGCUUUGUUUAUAUAUUGAUAAUGACAAUAUAUAUAUCGUGUCUUGACUAAUUACGUGCCAGCAGUCGCGGUAAUACGUAAGAGACUAGUGUUAUUCAUCUUAAUUAGGUUUAAAGGGUACCUAGACGGUCAAUAUAGCUUCUAGAAUGUUAGUACUUGACUAGAGUUUGAUGUAAGGGGGCAGUACUUGAGGAGGAGAGAUGAAAUUCUAUUAUACCAAAGGGACUCGGUAAAGGCGAAGGCAGCCCUUUAUGUAAAAACUGACGUUGAAGGACGAAGGCACAGAGCACAAACAGGAUUAGAUACCCAAGUAGUCUUUGCAGUAAAUGAUGAAUGCCAUAGGUUAGAUUAA